This 628-nucleotide long non-coding RNA is filed under the name Capsicum annuum. Its description in RNAcentral is "long non-coding RNA (CANN_LNC017482)". Lineage: Eukaryota; Viridiplantae; Streptophyta; Magnoliopsida; Solanales; Solanaceae. The record is from RNAcentral.
CUCGGAUUGGCACCUACAUCAAGAGCACUCAUCCAAUGCCAACCAAACCGAGAACAAGGUUGUCCAAACCAAAACCAAGGCUACCCAAAGGUAUCCUCCAAGAAACGAAGGUAAACCAAAUUCUACUUCCCAUCCUAAGGGAUUUCAAUGUUUUAAAUGUCAAUGGUGGGGGCACAAGGCUAGUGAAUGCCCAAAUCGAAGGAAUGUAAUCCUUAGGGAGAGAAAAUUAUAUUACCUUGGUGAUGAGGUAGGACUUGAAUCAAAUUAGGGUGAUGAAAAAGCUCAAGAUGGAGAGCUUGAAGCCGAGGUGGAUAUUGAGAAAGGCGGGGAAGAUGCUUGGCUGAUUGAUGGAGAGUGUGUAGUGUCUUUGUAUAUGGAAAGGAUAUUCAUGCUUAGUAAUGUUUUAGAAGAAGAAACCAAGAGUGGGGAGGGUGAAGGAGAGGAAAAGCCGAGAGCUAACGUUAUGGGAUUUGCCUAUAAAGGACCUUCAUUGCUUACUAACCGAGAUGCUAGCACUUCACCUAGAAUGGAGUCCAUUCAUCUUAUGUGCAGGUUGUAGAUUAUGUAAGUCCAAGGAGCAGAUGACCCCAUAGGACCCGUGGUUGCACAUCCUAACCUCGGGAGAAGC